UUUCCGUAGGUGAACCUGCGGAAGGAUCAUUACUGAGUGAGGGCCCCUCGGGGUCCAACCUCCCACCCGGGUUUAACGCACCUUGUUGCUUCGGCGGGCCCGCCUCACGGCCGCCGGGGGGCAUUUUUCCCCGGGCCCUCGCCCGCCGACGCCACCUGUGAACGAUGUCUGAAGUAUGCAGUCUUAGAUAAUUAUUAAAUUAAUUAAAACUUUCAACAACGGAUCUCUUGGUUCCG
This 236-nucleotide unclassified non-coding RNA is filed under the name plant metagenome. RNAcentral describes it as "partial contains small subunit ribosomal RNA, internal transcribed spacer 1, and 5.8S ribosomal RNA". The record is from RNAcentral.